CCUACGGGAGGCAGCAGUAGGGAAUUUUCGUCAAUGGGCGCAAGCCUGAACGAGCAAUGCCGCGUGAAUGAGGAAGGUCUUCGGAUCGUAAAGUUCUGUUGAAGGGGAAAAAGAGCGGAGUGAGUAAAUGAACUCCGAUUGAUAUUACCCUUCGAGGAAGUCCCGUCUAACUACGUGCCAGCAGCCGCGGUAAUACGUAGGUGGCGAGCGUUAUCCGGAAUGAUUGGGCGUAAAGGGUGCGUAGGCGGCCUGCGAAGUCUGAAGUGAAAGGUACCGGCUCAACCGGUACAGGCUCUGGAAACUGGCGGGCUAGAGAGAAGGGGAGGGCGGUGGAACUCCAUGUGUAGCGGUAAAAUGCGUAGAUAUAUGGAAGGACACCAGUGGCGAAGGCGGCCGCCUGGCAUGUUGACUGACGCUGAGGCACGAAAGCGUGGGGAGCAAAUAGGAUUAGAUACCCUUGUAGUC
RNAcentral lists this ribosomal RNA (465 nucleotides) under uncultured bacterium. RNAcentral describes it as "partial 16S ribosomal RNA". It matches the Rfam family "Bacterial small subunit ribosomal RNA", at positions 338 to 795 of the family's 1533-position model. The record is from RNAcentral.